This 185-nucleotide ribosomal RNA is filed under the name Clostridioides difficile. RNAcentral describes it as "partial 16S ribosomal RNA". The record is from RNAcentral. Lineage: Bacteria; Bacillati; Bacillota; Clostridia; Peptostreptococcales; Peptostreptococcaceae.
GUUCCGGGCCUCGUCACACACCGCCCCGGUACACCACCGGGGAACGUUGGAGAGCCCCUGAAGCCGAGUAUCUAACCUUUGGAAGAAGUCGUCGAAGGGUGGAAUCAAUAAACUAGGGGUGGAAGUCGUAACAAGGGUUAGCCGUAUCGAACGGUGCAGGCGUGGAUCACCUCCUUUCUAGGAGA